RNAcentral lists this ribosomal RNA (3029 nucleotides) under Salmonella enterica subsp. enterica serovar Heidelberg. Its description in RNAcentral is "23S ribosomal RNA". It matches the Rfam family "Bacterial large subunit ribosomal RNA". The record is from RNAcentral. Lineage: Bacteria; Pseudomonadati; Pseudomonadota; Gammaproteobacteria; Enterobacterales; Enterobacteriaceae.
GGGUUGUGAGGUUAAGCGACUAAGCGUACACGGUGGAUGCCCUGGCAGUCAGAGGCGAUGAAGGGCGUGCUAAUCUGCGAUAAGCGCCGGUAAGGUGAUAUGAACCGUUAUAACCGGCGAUACCCGAAUGGGGAAACCCAGUGUGACUCGUCACACUAUCAUUAACUGAAUCCAUAGGUUAAUGAGGCGAACCGGGGGAACUGAAACAUCUAAGUACCCCGAGGAAAAGAAAUCAACCGAGAUUCCCCCAGUAGCGGCGAGCGAACGGGGAGGAGCCCAGAGCCUGAAUCAGCAUGUGUGUUAGUGGAAGCGUCUGGAAAGGCGCGCGAUACAGGGUGACAGCCCCGUACACAAAAGCGCAUGUGCUGUGAGCUCGAUGAGUAGGGCGGGACACGUGGUAUCCUGUCUGAAUAUGGGGGGACCAUCCUCCAAGGCUAAAUACUCCUGACUGACCGAUAGUGAACCAGUACCGUGAGGGAAAGGCGAAAAGAACCCCGGCGAGGGGAGUGAAAAAGAACCUGAAACCGUGUACGUACAAGCAGUGGGAGCCCCACCACCAAAGCAUUCUCUGGUGUUGAAGGCCCUGCAAAGCAGCAUCGCGGUGGCGGAGCGUCGUUUGCGACGCCCAACACACAAAACAAGCGGUGAAUGCUUUGGGGUGGGGUGACUGCGUACCUUUUGUAUAAUGGGUCAGCGACUUAUAUUCUGUAGCAAGGUUAACCGAAUAGGGGAGCCGGAGGGAAACCGAGUCUUAAUUGGGCGUUAAGUUGCAGGGUAUAGACCCGAAACCCGGUGAUCUAGCCAUGGGCAGGUUGAAGGUUGGGUAACACUAACUGGAGGACCGAACCGACUAAUGUUGAAAAAUUAGCGGAUGACCUGUGGCUGGGGGUGAAAGGCCAAUCAAACCGGGAGAUAGCUGGUUCUCCCCGAAAGCUAUUUAGGUAGCGCCUCGUGAAUUCAUCUCCGGGGGUAGAGCACUGUUUCGGCUAGGGGGCCAUCCCGGCUUACCAACCCGAUGCAAACUGCGAAUACCGGAGAAUGUUAUCACGGGAGACACACGGCGGGUGCUAACGUCCGUCGUGAAGAGGGAAACAACCCAGACCGCCAGCUAAGGUCCCAAAGUCAUGGUUAAGUGGGAAACGAUGUGGGAAGGCCCAGACAGCCAGGAUGUUGGCUUAGAAGCAGCCAUCAUUUAAAGAAAGCGUAAUAGCUCACUGGUCGAGUCGGCCUGCGCGGAAGAUGUAACGGGGCUAAACCAUGCACCGAAGCUGCGGCAGCGACGCUGAUGCGUUGUUGGGUAGGGGAGCGUUCUGUAAGCCUGCGAAGGUGACCUGUGAGGGUUGCUGGAGGUAUCAGAAGUGCGAAUGCUGACAUAAGUAACGAUAAAGCGGGUGAAAAGCCCGCUCGCCGGAAGACCAAGGGUUCCUGUCCAACGUUAAUCGGGGCAGGGUGAGUCGACCCCUAAGGCGAGGCCGAAAGGCGUAGUCGAUGGGAAACGGGUUAAUAUUCCCGUACUUGGUGUUACUGCGAAGGGGGGACGGAGAAGGCUAUGUUGGCCGGGCGACGGUUGUCCCGGUUUAAGCGUGUAGGUGUGUGUUCCAGGUAAAUCCGGUUCACUUUAACACUGAGGCGUGAUGACGAGGCACUACGGUGCUGAAGCAACAAAUGCCCUGCUUCCAGGAAAAGCCUCUAAGCAUCAGGUAACAUCAAAUCGUACCCCAAACCGACACAGGUGGUCAGGUAGAGAAUACCAAGGCGCUUGAGAGAACUCGGGUGAAGGAACUAGGCAAAAUGGUGCCGUAACUUCGGGAGAAGGCACGCUGACACGUAGGUGAAGUGAUUUACUCAUGGAGCUGAAGUCAGUCGAAGAUACCAGCUGGCUGCAACUGUUUAUUAAAAACACAGCACUGUGCAAACACGAAAGUGGACGUAUACGGUGUGACGCCUGCCCGGUGCCGGAAGGUUAAUUGAUGGGGUCAGCGCAAGCGAAGCUCCUGAUCGAAGCCCCGGUAAACGGCGGCCGUAACUAUAACGGUCCUAAGGUAGCGAAAUUCCUUGUCGGGUAAGUUCCGACCUGCACGAAUGGCGUAAUGAUGGCCAGGCUGUCUCCACCCGAGACUCAGUGAAAUUGAACUCGCUGUGAAGAUGCAGUGUACCCGCGGCAAGACGGAAAGACCCCGUGAACCUUUACUAUAGCUUGACACUGAACAUUGAGCCUUGAUGUGUAGGAUAGGUGGGAGGCUUUGAAGCGUGGACGCCAGUCUGCGUGGAGCCGACCUUGAAAUACCACCCUUUAAUGUUUGAUGUUCUAACGUGGACCCGUAAUCCGGGUUGCGGACAGUGUCUGGUGGGUAGUUUGACUGGGGCGGUCUCCUCCUAAAGAGUAACGGAGGAGCACGAAGGUUGGCUAAUCCUGGUCGGACAUCAGGAGGUUAGUGCAAUGGCAUAAGCCAGCUUGACUGCGAGCGUGACGGCGCGAGCAGGUGCGAAAGCAGGUCAUAGUGAUCCGGUGGUUCUGAAUGGAAGGGCCAUCGCUCAACGGAUAAAAGGUACUCCGGGGAUAACAGGCUGAUACCGCCCAAGAGUUCAUAUCGACGGCGGUGUUUGGCACCUCGAUGUCGGCUCAUCACAUCCUGGGGCUGAAGUAGGUCCCAAGGGUAUGGCUGUUCGCCAUUUAAAGUGGUACGCGAGCUGGGUUUAGAACGUCGUGAGACAGUUCGGUCCCUAUCUGCCGUGGGCGCUGGAGAACUGAGGGGGGCUGCUCCUAGUACGAGAGGACCGGAGUGGACGCAUCACUGGUGUUCGGGUUGUCAUGCCAAUGGCACUGCCCGGUAGCUAAAUGCGGAAGAGAUAAGUGCUGAAAGCAUCUAAGCACGAAACUUGCCCCGAGAUGAGUUCUCCCUGAGACUUAAAGUCUCCUGAAGGAACGUUGAAGACGACGACGUUGAUAGGCCGGGUGUGUAAGCGCAGCGAUGCGUUGAGCUAACCGGUACUAAUGAACCGUGAGGCUUAACCUUACAACGCCGAAG